Long non-coding RNA from Etheostoma spectabile (orangethroat darter), 82 nucleotides. RefSeq lists it as uncharacterized. The transcript is spliced from 3 exons. Lineage: Eukaryota; Metazoa; Chordata; Actinopteri; Perciformes; Percidae. The record is from RefSeq and is a predicted model, not a curated record.
UAUUUCUUGUCCUGCCUAUGCACCACCUGUCUGUACUUGUAUAUCACAUUGCAUUUUUCUGCUACUUUUCUGGUUGGACGCA